AUAUCAAUAAGCGGAGGAAAAGAAACCAACAGGGAUUGCCCCAGUAACGGCGAGUGAAGCGGCAACAGCUCAGAUUUGAAACCUGGCCCCGGGUCCGGAUUGUAAUCUGUAGAAGGUGCCUCGGGGGCGACGUCGGCCCAAGUUCCUUGGAACAGGGCGUCACAGAGGGUGAGAAUCCCGUACGUGGCCGCCCGUCAACCCCGUGCGAGGCCCUUUCGACGAGUCGAGUUGUUUGGGAAUGCAGCUCUAAGUGGGUGGUAAAUUUCAUCUAAAGCUAAAUACCGGCCAGAGACCGAUAGCGCACAAGUAGAGUGAUCGAAAGAUGAAAAGCACUUUGAAAAGAGAGUCAAAAAGUACGUGAAAUUGUUGAAAGGGAAGCGCUUGCAACCAGACUCGCGCGCGGGUGCUCAGCCGUCCCUCGGGGCGGUGCGCUCUCCCGCGCUCGGGCCAGCAUCGGUUCGGGCGACCGGAUAAAGGCCCCGGGAACGUGAUUUCCUUCGGGGAAUGUUAUAGCCCGGGGCGCAAUGCGGCCAGCCCGGACCGAGGACCGCGCUCUUUGCUAGGAUGCUGGCGUAAUGGUUGCCAGCGACCCGUCUUGAAACACGGACCAAGGAGUCGACCAACUCCGCGAGUGUUUGGGCGUAAAACCCAUGCGCGCAAUGAAAGUGAAUAUGGUAUGAGCUUCGGCGCAAUAUCGACCGAUCUUGAAAUUUAUGGAUGGAUUUGAGUAUGAGCGAAGUUGGUCGGACCCGAAAGAUGGUGAGCUAUGCGUGAAUAGGGUGAAGCCAGAGGAAACUCUGGUGGAGGCUCGCAGCGGUUCUGACGUGCAAAUCGAUCGUCAAAUUUGCGUAUAGGGGCGAAAGACUAAUCGAACCAUCUAGUAGCUGGUUCCUGUCGAAGUUUCCCU
RNAcentral lists this ribosomal RNA (907 nucleotides) under Fissurina sp. RLD 051. RNAcentral describes it as "eukaryotic LSU rRNA". It matches the Rfam family "Eukaryotic large subunit ribosomal RNA", at positions 40 to 973 of the family's 3401-position model. Lineage: Eukaryota; Fungi; Ascomycota; Lecanoromycetes; Ostropales; Graphidaceae. The record is from RNAcentral.